RNAcentral lists this ribosomal RNA (252 nucleotides) under uncultured bacterium. RNAcentral describes it as "partial 16S ribosomal RNA". It matches the Rfam family "Bacterial small subunit ribosomal RNA", at positions 524 to 776 of the family's 1533-position model. The record is from RNAcentral.
UACGGAGGAUGCGAGCGUUAUCCGGAUUUAUUGGGUUUAAAGGGUGCGUAGGCGGGAUGCCAAGUCAGCGGUAAAAAUGCGGUGCUCAACGCCGUCGAGCCGUUGAAACUGGCGUUCUUGAGUGGGCGAGAAGUAUGCGGAAUGCGUGGUGUAGCGGUGAAAUGCAUAGAUAUCACGCAGAACUCCGAUUGCGAAGGCGGCAUACCGGCGCCCUACUGACGCUGAGGCGCGAAAGCGUGGGUAUCGAACAGG